GAUGAACGCUGGCGGCGUGCCUAAUACAUGCAAGUCGAGCGAACGGACGAGAAGCUUGCUUCUCUGAUGUUAGCGGCGGACGGGUGAGUAACACGUGGAUAACCUACCUAUAAGACUGGGAUAACUUCGGGAAACCGGAACUAGUACCGGAUGAUAUUUUGAACCGCAUGGUUCAAAAGUGAAAGACGGUCUUGCUGUCACUUAUAGAUGGGUCCGCGCUGCAUUAGCUAGUUGGUAAGGUAACGGCUUACCAAGGCAACGAUGCAUAGCCGACCUGAGAGGGUGAUCGGCCACACUGGAACUGAGACACGGUCCAGACUCCUACGGGAGGCAGCAGUAGGGAAUCUUCCGCAAUGGGCGAAAGCCUGACGGAGCAACGCCGCGUGAGUGAUGAAGGUCUUCGGAUCGUAAAACUCUGUUAUUAGGGAAGAACAUAUGUGUAAGUAACUGUGCACAUCUUGACGGUACCUAAUCAGAAAGCCACGGCUAACUACGUG
This 497-nucleotide ribosomal RNA is filed under the name uncultured bacterium. RNAcentral's name for it is "partial 16S ribosomal RNA". It matches the Rfam family "Bacterial small subunit ribosomal RNA", at positions 28 to 507 of the family's 1533-position model. The record is from RNAcentral.